UAUACACUCAAGCCACCCAUUUGCAAACAGUGCUUGAAUGCCAAGUGAGGAAGUCUCUUCAGUGGGUUAGGAGAGGCUAGACUGCAAAAAAGAGCGACUCUUCUAAAAGAAAUGAAAAGAACACAUUGAUUUCCUUUUUCAGAAACAGGAAGCCCUGAAGAGCUCCAGAGACUGGUGCAGCAGCAAAAAUGUCAGAAGCAAACCACGGGGAGCCCCGGGGGGACAGUGGAAACUAUGAGAAGAGCUCCAGGAAAUUCCUCAGGGGACUGACGGUCCUGGGUGCUGGGAAUCCCAAAAGGUUGAUUGAUAGCCUCCAAGACCUAUAACACUCAGCCUGGAACACGAAGAGCUAAGAGGCAUGGCACUCAGAGCUCAGAGCUGUAACACUGAGGACUGAGAGCUGCUGCCUCUUAAAGCCUGAAGCUGCUGAUAGCAAGCAAGCCACGCUUCGCCAAUUCAUGAUUUCUAUCUGAAUACAGCAAGAAGAUCCCUCAACUGAUUGAAGACACCAGAAAGAUAAGAUCUUAAUAUUUACUUCUCAAACUAUUCCUGCUUUACAUAUGAAACAGCUAAGGUUGUGAUUUCUAUGAUUUUUGAAAGUCACUCACUAAGAGAGACUAGAAUCAAACUUGGGCCGAUUCUAAAAUCCUGGGGUCAUGCUACAGAAUACAGCAUCAGAAACAGUUUCAACAACCUGAGAUUAACCAGGAAUUUGUCUCUUGGUUCUUUGUUUCCAAAUAUGUAUCUUGUAAAACGAGUAACUAGAAAUUAUCUGAAAUAUUUGUUGAAUAUAACAACUAUAUUGUACUUGACUGCUCUGUAUAUCUUCUAGGGAAGGCAUUAGAGAAGAGUAGAGGAGAUAGGGAGGAAGUGGGGGAAAAGUUGGAGGAAGGAACCCAGAGAGGUGAACCACGUCAUCUGCUGAGUUUCCGGCCUGCACAAGACUGUACCUGCUCCCCUGAUCCUCUGAUGCUUGAACAGAUAGGUGGGACUGAAGGACUCUUCUGCUCACAAGUGGGCAGAGGGCUCUGAAAGUGCCAGGAGUUUUUCCCUGAGAGCUGGUUAGAGAAGGUUAGAAUGUUUAGGACUUGGGGAAAAGCCAGUAUUAUAUGGGCAACCCUUUGUAUUAUGUGUUCCGCAUUAGUAGCUACAACCAGCCAUGUACUAAGCAGAUUUGAAAAAAGUUGUGUGUGUACUAAACGUACUGAUGUUAUUUUGUCAUUACUAAGUAAUAUAGUAAAACAACUAUUUAUAUCACAUCUAUAUUGCAUUAGGUUUUAUAAACAGCAGAGAGAUUAUUUAAUAUGCACAGGAGGGUACGCAAGGAUCACAUGCAAAUGCUAUACCAUUUUAUUUAAGAAACCUGAGCAUUUGACGAUUUUGACAUUUCAGAGGUGGAGUGAAACUGAAACCAGUCCUUUGAGGAGACCGAGGGACAACUCUGUUGGAGAAACUCUUUUUAGGAAUGUGCUGAUGCGCCCACAGCUGCUUGCUGUGCAGGAGAAUAAAAGUGGUGCCCUGAUGACUAAGUUGGAUGGUGAAUAGAGGCUUCUGACACCAGUGUGAAUUUACAUUAAUUCACAUCGAAAAAAAAAAAAAACAGAGAAAAGAUGAGGCUCUAAAUGUUCAAGUUACUGUCCCCUCAUACCUCUGAACUCAAUCUACUGGAGCAGUUGGCUAUUAUGAGUGUUACUAGAAAAUAAGAGUUUGAACAGCCAAAGAGCCACAUUGUACCACAGAGGACAAAAAAGCAACAUGAAAUGUUGGGACAGAGGAGCCUUUGACAGAGAAGGAUGAACAUCUAUGGCACCCAUUAAGGGGAAACGGAACCCCAGUGGAGUUGCCCAGCAGAUCAAUGAAUGAAUGCAGGGAAUCUCACUGCUGGGUCACAGACACAGCAUAUUAAUUCUACUCUCCUACCUUUAAAUCAAUCCAGUCCCUCGUAACAAAUUCUCUUUAGGGGUUAUGUCUCUUUCUCUGGUCCUUCCACGCCCACCCGCCCGCCCCCAGCCUCCUGACAGCCAGGGGUAGAGCAGCUUUCAUCUGCCAUGCCCUUCUGCCUGCUGUUUCUGCAUCAAUGCCAGUUGACCAUGGACUGAAACCUCUGAAACUCCUCAGCCACCAUGCUGUGAGGAAACACAAGCCACUCAGCAAGUAGGCUCAUGUUGAAAAGAACCACCAACCAGAACCAUAUCAAGGUUCUAGAAAAGACCAUCUGUCCUGCAAAUACUUGGAUUGAGAGAACAAAAAGGCAGUGAAAGAAGACUGGCUGUGUCACUAACAGAAGGAUGAAGAGGGGACCUACACACUGAGAUAGCCAGAAACCACCCUGAACUUCAGUGGAGUGAAAGAUGCAAGCUUGCUAGGAUUAUCCACUCCCCUGCUGUAAAAUUGUGGCUGCCUUGCUGGGAUUAAUCAACUCAGAUCUGGACUCUGCCUGCCCACGUUGUCUACCAGUGACAGGAGAGAUACACCUCAAGGUCAAAGAAGUCAGCAUGGAGUCUUUAGCUCUUGAAUUAUGAUGAAGAAUCUACUGGAUGAGAAACUGGAUGGAUUUGGAAAGGAAAAAAUACAAAACGCAUAUGUAUCUUCUUAAGGUUGACACUUUCCUGGAAGCGAUCAUGGGAUAAGAAGUAAAAAGUUGCUUCCCUAACUAAGGACUUGAUUACAUCUGAAUUGUUUUUAAGUUCUUUAAGGUAUGUUCCAUCAUUAUCCUAAUUUUUAAAGACAAAGAGACCAAAAGGCAAAGAGCAAAAGUAACUUUUCCAAGGACAAGCAACUAGUCAGGACAUUGACUGGGACAAAACAUGCAGAAGCUUUCUGGGAUGGCGGAAAUGUUGGUGUCUCAAUCCUGAGUUCUUUGGUGAUGCAUUCAACUCUGCUCUUAUUAUCUUUGCAUUUUACUGUCUAUGGAUUACCCUUCAACUUAAGAAAUAACUGGCUGGAAUAGAGCCUGCUUAUUUCAGCUGAGACUGAAAUCUUUGAUUUAAAACA
Long non-coding RNA from Cavia porcellus (domestic guinea pig), 2994 nucleotides. RefSeq lists it as uncharacterized. The transcript has 14 exons. The record is from RefSeq and is a predicted model, not a curated record. NCBI's taxonomy places the organism in Eukaryota, Metazoa, Chordata, Mammalia, Rodentia, Caviidae.